AGCGCAGGCGGGAAGACAAGUUGGAAGUGAAAUCCAUGGGCUCAACCCAUGAACUGCUUUCAAAACUGUUUUUCUUGAGUAGUGCAGAGGUAGGCGGAAUUCCCGGUGUAGCGGUGGAAUGCGUAGAUAUCGGGAGGAACACCAGUGGCGAAGGCGGCCUACUGGGCACCAACUGACGCUGGGGCUCGAAAGUGUGGGUAGUAAACA
This 207-nucleotide ribosomal RNA is filed under the name uncultured bacterium. Its description in RNAcentral is "partial 16S ribosomal RNA". It matches the Rfam family "Bacterial small subunit ribosomal RNA", at positions 568 to 774 of the family's 1533-position model. The record is from RNAcentral.